AUGCCGGACGCGACGGCGGCGGUGGGGGUUGAGCCGGCCGGAUCCAGCGGCAAGAACGCGUGUGCUCUGGGCUCCGCUGAAGAUCGGAUGGAUGAUGAUUUUGCUGCAGCCGAAGCUGAGCAGCUUGAAGAGGUCCUCCGACUCUCGGCUCAGUCCACGACGAUGGCAUGUGCGGUUUGCAGACUGAUGACAGUAUCACUGGAAGCAUCAUGGAAACCUGAGAAUUGUGAUCAUGUCAUCUGUAUUGACUGCUUCGCCAAAUACACAACAGAGACAGUGGCCACAGAGAUGCCAAAGUGCCCGGUUGCUUCUUGCGAAUAUCAUGUCGAUCCAGAGAUACAUGAAUUUAUGGAAGUAGACGAUGAUGGCAGCCUGAUCGCAAUCAAAGAGAUCGAUGAUGGCAAAGGGAAGGAACAUCCCUAUAAUGGGCUGCAAGAAUCCGGCCAAGGUUCCGGCCGCGGCACGAUGAUGUGUGCAGUUUGCAGGCUGAUGAUCGUAUCGCUGGAAGCGUCGUGGAAACCUGAAAACUGUGAUCAUAUCAUCUGCAUCACCUGCUUUGCCAGAUACACAACCGAGAGUACGGCCACCGAGAUGCCCAAGUGUCCGAUUACUUCUUGCGAUUCUCUGUUGAAGCCAGACACACCACAAGUGAUCAAUACGGACGAUGAUGGUGAUGCUGGCAGCUCGUCAUCGACCAGAGUGGUAGACAAAGGCAAGCAACCGUGCAACGCCGUGCUGCAAGAGCUCGGCCAAUGUUCCAGCGGCACGACGAUUGCCAACGACUUCUACUGCACCAUCUGCAUGGAGGAAGUGCCUGCCAUAGAAUGCUUCCCGGUGGACGGGUGCACGCACGCGUUCUGCGUCAGCUGCGUGAGGCAGUACAUUGCGGCGAAGGUGGAAGAGAACGUGCUGCCCAUCAGGUGCCCCGACCCGGGCUGCAAGGACGGCACGCUGCAGCCGGAGGCCUGCCGGGACGUGAUCCCGACUCCGCUGUUCCAGCGGUGGGGCGCCGCGCUCUGUGACAUGGCGCUCGAGGGGAUCAAGUUCUACUGCCCCUUCAACGACUGCUCGACGCUGCUGGUCGACGACCACCAGGACGGGGACGCGGUGAUAAGGGACGUGGAGUGCCCCCACUGCUCCCGCAUCUUCUGCGCGCAGUGCAAGGUGCCGUGGCACGACGGCGUGGACUGCGCCGAGUUCCAGCGGCUCGGCAAGGACGAGCGCGGGCGGGAGGACCUGCUGCUGAGGAAGGUCGCGCAGGAGAGCAAGUGGCGGAGGUGCGCCAAGUGCAAGAUGUACGUCGAGAGGGUGGAAGGCUGCGUGUACAUUGUCUGCAGGUGCGGCCACCACUUCUGCUACCUGUGCGGCUCCGCGAUGGUGAAGGGCAACCAUCGUUGCAGCAAGUGCAAGCGUACGUGGUGA
Molecule: ribosomal RNA, 1422 nt
Filed under: Triticum aestivum (bread wheat)
Lineage: Eukaryota; Viridiplantae; Streptophyta; Magnoliopsida; Poales; Poaceae
Description: partial small subunit ribosomal RNA
Source: RNAcentral